RNAcentral lists this small RNA (99 nucleotides) under Arabidopsis thaliana (thale cress). RNAcentral's name for it is "ATSL052390". Lineage: Eukaryota; Viridiplantae; Streptophyta; Magnoliopsida; Brassicales; Brassicaceae. The record is from RNAcentral.
AUUGUUAUUAGGUAACGUUAUACCACGAAUCCAUGAGACAAUUGUUAAAAAACUGAAGUUUUAACCCCUAUUAAAACAUCAUAUUAAUAAUAUUUUAAU